GCCGAUGUGGUGGAAUUGGUAGACACGCCGUCUUGAGGGGGCGGUGGCGAAAGCCGUGAGAGUUCGAGUCUCUCCGUCGGCACCA
Molecule: transfer RNA, 85 nt
Filed under: Gemmatimonadota bacterium
Lineage: Bacteria; Pseudomonadati; Gemmatimonadota
Description: tRNA-Leu
Rfam family: tRNA
About the family: Transfer RNA (tRNA) molecules are approximately 80 nucleotides in length.
Source: RNAcentral